GCAGGGUCUGAUCUCUGCACCCCGGGCCCCCGCGCAGACCCGCGGACGAGCGCUGGGUGGGGAUUUCAACCUGCUCCAGCUGAUGUGCGCGGGGUUUGCACCCCGGGGAGGCGAGGGAGAGAGUCCGGCCACGUCCUGCCAGGCCCCGCCCGCGCCCCCGCUGCCCUCCAGCGCGGAACCCAGGUCCCAGGAGACGCGAGGCGCCCAAGGCCCCGGGAUUCCGAGCCAGUCAACCCCGGGCCGCGACGCUCUGGGAACCACACCCGUCCAGGAAGGCACCUUGGCCAAAGCCGGCUCCUUCGCAGAUGACCCGGGCCAGGGUCCGAGCGCCAGGCUGUGACCCCGCGAGGCUGUUCCACGCUGGCCGCGAGAGACGGAGGGCAGGAGGGGCCCGAAUAGGACAGAGAGAGAGAGAGAGAGAGACAGAAGGAGGCGCACGCGCUCCCCAGGGACCGGGACGCGGUGGUGGGCGGGACCUCGCGGGGGUGGGGGGUGGUCGCAGGACCCAGAAGGCUCAGGACCUUUACGGAUAGGGAGGACCCCGCAGGGGGGAGCGGGGGAGCCCCACGCCCGGCGUCCUCCGGGUGCGAGGGUCUCGGGGAGUCCGAGCCCGGGCCCACGGCCUCUGUCCCGCGGCCACUACCUGCUGGGGGUCCCGGGCCUGGGCCACGCCGGGCUGCCCUCGGGGACUUGCUGCGGCCGUUGAGGGGUCUCCGCGCGCCGCGCAGACUCGCCUCCCAACCCGAGGGCCCGGGCGGCCGCCGCCCAGAGCGUCCAGCGGCAGCGUCUUGCUCUCGAAGGCGUCCUCCACGCAGCGGAACACGCAGCCAAGCUUGGGCCGGGCCAGAGGCCUCGCGGGCUCCUGAGGCUGCCGCGCGGUCACGGCAGGAGCGGGCGACAGAAUCCGGUCUCGGAGCCUCCUGUAGCGAGGUCUGCGCGGCAGGUGCACUGGGCGGACCUGGAGGCCGCGCCCUCCCCCCCCGCCUCCUGCCGCCCGGCAGCGCUGCGCGGAGCUGGCUCUGUCCACGUAGCGGGUGCUGAACGCCCCAUUCUGGCCCCUGGGUGCUCGCUUAGUCCCGGCCACGCGUGGCUGCUCGCCCUCGGGACACACUGGGCGCUGGGAAGGCCGGGCGGGGAGCGCGCACCGGAGAAACCGCUGUGGGAAUCCCGGCCACAUUUCCAGGCCCCUUGGGCCGUCCCACGCCAGACAAGAAAGCCCUGACUCCGAAACCCUGGGCGAGUGUGGAGGGCGCGCGGGGGUGGGGUGUACCCGCCCACGCAAACUGCUGCUGAUCUCCCUUAAAGCCGAGUUAGAGGCUUGGGGCGAGACAGGAGUGACGGGCGAUGCUGUCACUCCAUCUGUCAUUCUACCCAGCCUGCAGCAGCUGAAUUCGAACCCAGAGACUUCAGGCCUUUGCGUUGUUACCGCAGUCCGCAUUUCAAAGCCAGAGUUUGGCCACUGAGUCACCAUGACCUCGAGUACUGGCGGGGCCCGAGCCAGCAGAGCUAGCCACAGGAGGGAGCCUCCCAGGUGGUCGACCGGAGCCAGGUGCUGCCAGGCACCCGACUGCAGAGCUUGCCCUCCAGGUGAUCUCGCAGUAUCGGUGUUCACAAGCCCUGUAAGGCACUCGGGGUAUCCUGAAGGCUACAGAUUCUGCAAGGGCAGAGACUUUAAGGAACAGCCAUAGUCCUUCUCCAGCUCAAAAUCUGGACCAUGGGCACAAGGUACACAUUGGGACCAUGCCAGGAGCUCUCCCAGAGGAGGAGGCCAGGCUGGCAGGGAGCCAGGUAGAGUUACAACAUAUUUCUGGAUGCCUGCAUCGUAGAGUCCAUCGGACUUCAACCCAGCGGUUCACCCACAGCGCCACGGUAGCUUUUAUUAACACAAGGCUAUUGUGUGCCAUUCAGUUGUGAGUAUAAUAAAUGUGCCAAGAAGAUGCAGUCGUUAAAAUGAGACAAAACUAUGCACAGAGGACUAAACAGGAUUUCAGACUCGAGACGCAAACCCCGAGGUCAGGCUCAGCUAGAGACACUGAACUGGCCCAGUAUCUUGCCGAGUAAAUCAGGAACUGUGGCUUGAAUGACAACAGAAAUGGAUGGGUCUUUCUUGGACAAGUGCUGAUUAAUAGUGCAUUUUCCAGCAAAAAUCCUGCAGCCACCAAAGAAAAAGCAUAUCUGUCUGAUACUAUUAGCUUUUCCCUGAUUUCAACCUAGGGAGCCAUGCCUGGUCCGCAGCCACCGUGUCAUCUGCCCCAAAGUCAGACAUUUCUUCUGACACAAAUAUAAAAUGAGCCUAAUACUUCCAGACAACCCAGUCCUCCCUACGGCAGCUGAGUCGUGUCUUUUAUACAAUGCUGCCAGUAACAGUCACACCUGGCUGCACAGCUGGCUGCCUCAACUUCUAGGUGCCUCGAAAUGGCUAAAUCCCACGAAUGGCUCUUCUGGUUGCGUGAAAACAUGCAUAAACGCAUGCUUGUGCACACAAGUGAGCACACACACACACCUCCUGUCAAUUCAGCUCUGAGAGCAGAACCUUAGCCCACCUAGGGUGGGAGGACACAGAAGUUCCAUCUGCAGCCAGUCAGGCUCCAUCCACAGGCUGGACGAAGCUCCCGGGCUGCGUCCCGGGUCUCCCAGCAGGAAUGGAAAUCACACCUAACGUUGCCUUCACCAAUGCACUGCUUCCUCUCUGAAAAAGAGUGGAGAAAACGCCGUUUAGUGCGACGACCUGGGGAAUGUGUGUGACCCACCACAGGUCAGCACUCAAGGCAGUUGGGGCCUUGACCAGGCACUGGCUCUGCACAGGAUGGUCACUGAGCCAAUGGCAGGCACUGCCCUCAUGGGUCCAGCACCAGCUACAGCGCCACGUCCUGAGCCUCCAGCCCGGGAGACGCACCUGGCACCCACCGAAGGCCACACUCUCAGGAAGAUGAGUCCAUGCUCCUCACAAAGCCCCUACAGAAGUGACCUUGGAUCUUUCUCACCAUGUCUGGGCCAGCAGCCCGGUUUCUACCCAACUUCCCUCAUUGCUUAGAAAGUGGGCCUCUGCUAAGUUCAAAGUUUUUAUUACCUUUCCAUUUUUUCAUGUUUUUGAAGAAGUUAUGAAGGAUCUGCUUUUCACAAGGGCGGGCCCCGGAUCAGUCCCUGGGGCAUGGCAGCAUCGGGUGGGAGGCCACGUGGGCUGAGGGGCGGGAGCGAGGGCACGCUGGGACAGAGGCAGAGGGGCGGGAGUGAGGGCACGCUGGGACAGAGGCAGAGGGCCCGGCCGUAGAGACACCACGGUUUUCUAAUCUAGGAGAGGUCUGAAGAGCUUUUUGGUUUUUGAUUUAACCUAACUUCUAAGUAAGAAGAUAUUACCUCAAACAGAAUGAAAAAUAAAUGUAGUCAAAUGACACAUACAUGUUUACUUCUUCCCGUAUUAAGCGUUACAGUUGAAAUCUCUGCUGCAGUUAACAUAGUACCUUGUUCUUUGUGCCUUUAAUCGGGUUCGUUUCUAAAUAGGUUGUCCCGGAACCAUCGAUCUCUAGAAGGUACAGGAGGAAGGGGACCUGCCAGUCCAGCCCUCAUAUUUUACAGAGGGAAAAGGUGAAGCCCCAUGUAAAACAGGGAUUUCCCUCGGUGACACUUCCAGGCUGAGAAGGGCCGGGGAUCUGGACACCUACCCAGAAACACUCCCACCCUGUCAAUGCCUCUCUGAAUUAUGUGAUCAACUGCCUGGAGUAUGAACUAGGCACAUGCAAAUAGAGAACAGAGGUCUUGUUGAAAAUAUGAUGCUGAAUUUUAAAAACUCACUCCCCAAAUUAAAGGAACAAGACCAGAGCA
RNAcentral lists this long non-coding RNA (3822 nucleotides) under Homo sapiens (human). Its description in RNAcentral is "JAKMIP3 antisense RNA 1, transcript variant 7 (JAKMIP3-AS1)". The record is from RNAcentral. Lineage: Eukaryota; Metazoa; Chordata; Mammalia; Primates; Hominidae.